RNAcentral lists this long non-coding RNA (774 nucleotides) under Medicago truncatula (barrel medic). Its description in RNAcentral is "lncRNA gene37571". Lineage: Eukaryota; Viridiplantae; Streptophyta; Magnoliopsida; Fabales; Fabaceae. The record is from RNAcentral.
GGAAAAAUUACGUCUAGCCGCAUGACCAUCCUGAGAGCAAAGGCUUUCAGGAAAUCAAAUACGCCACUAACGUAAGGGCUCAAAUCAACAUGCCUAAUUGUUUUUUAUUUAUCUCCCUUUUUGUAUAACUCUCUGGUUAUCGAGGGAAAGGGACCUUCGUAAUCUAGAUUCCCACAAUGAUCCUUGGAUAAUGCGCUCAAGUGAAUAAAUAUUAUUUUCUGAACUGAGAAUUGUUUAUUUUUGCUGCAUUUUUCAGGCUUACACUUGGCUGGCCUGGUAGGUUAGAGAUUAGCCACUAUUUCCAUCAAAGGACUCUAAACCAUACCAGGAGAUUUACCCAGCCAAUACAUUAUCUUUUCUUUCAUGUGGCUAAGUACAACAAUGUAGAUCUAUACAAGCACUUAAAAACCAGUUAUUUGUGUGCAAAAGUAGAUCUACAGUUCCAAUCAAUAAUACUGUCUCCAACUGAAAGAGAACCACUCUUUGUUGGAACAGUAUUCCCUGGGGGAACAUUAUUUAUAGAACAAGCAUAAUAAUCAGAGAAUAUCAGUCUUCUUUUUUCAUGUGAUGAAGCUGGUGUAAUCACAUGAAUACCUUCAAGGAGAUGGAAGUUUUCUGUGUAUAGAAUGAUUAUCAUUGUAAAUAUCUCUGGGCAGCAUUCAUGAAAAGUAAAGCUUUUUGAGUAGAUUACCAUUGUAACCAAACUUUAUCCCACUAAGUGGAAUCGGCUACAUGUAUCAAUUUACGCCAUAAUGUUAUAUCAUAAAUCAUAUU